This 466-nucleotide ribosomal RNA is filed under the name uncultured Desulfovibrio sp. RNAcentral describes it as "bacterial SSU rRNA". It matches the Rfam family "Bacterial small subunit ribosomal RNA", at positions 920 to 1382 of the family's 1533-position model. The record is from RNAcentral. Lineage: Bacteria; Pseudomonadati; Thermodesulfobacteriota; Desulfovibrionia; Desulfovibrionales; Desulfovibrionaceae.
CCCGCACAAGCGGUGGAGUAUGUGGUUUAAUUCGACGCAACGCGCAGAACCUUACCUAGACUUGACAUCCCGGGGAUUUUCUGGAAACAGAGAAGUGCUUUAGCAAUAAAGAACCCGGUGACAGGUGCUGCAUGGCUGUCGUCAGCUCGUGUCGUGAGGUGUUGGGUUAAGUCCCGCAACGAGCGCAACCCUCGCCUUUAGUUGCCAGCAUUCAGUUGGGCACUCUAGAGGGACUGCCGGUGUCAAACCGGAGGAAGGUGGGAUGACGUCAAGUCCUCAUGGCCUUUAUGUCUAGGGCUACACACGUACUACAAUGGCCGGUACAAAGGGCAGCCACUCAGCGAUGAGGCGCUAAUCCCAUAAAGCCGGUCUCAGUCCGGAUCGCAGUCUGCAACUCGACUGCGUGAAGUUGGAAUCGCUAGUAAUCGUAGAUCAGCAUGCUACGGUGAAUACGUUCCCGGGCCUU